UUGAGAGUUUGAUCCUGGCUCAGAACGAACGCUGGCGGCAGGCUUAACACAUGCAAGUCGAGCGCCCCGCAAGGGGAGCGGCAGACGGGUGAGUAACGCGUGGGAAUCUACCCUUCUCUACGGAAUAACGCAUGGAAACGUGUGCUAAUACCGUAUACGUCCUUUUGGAGAAAGAUUUAUCGGAGAUGGAUGAGCCCGCGUUGGAUUAGCUAGUUGGUGGGGUAAAGGCCUACCAAGGCGACGAUCCAUAGCUGGUCUGAGAGGAUGAUCAGCCACACUGGGACUGAGACACGGCCCAGACUCCUACGGGAGGCAGCAGUGGGGAAUAUUGGACAAUGGGCGCAAGCCUGAUCCAGCCAUGCCGCGUGAGUGAUGAAGGCCCUAGGGUUGUAAAGCUCUUUCACCGGUGAAGAUAAUGACGGUAACCGGAGAAGAAGCCCCGGCUAACUUCGUGCCAGCAGCCGCGGUAAUACGAAGGGGGCUAGCGUUGUUCGGAUUUACUGGGCGUAAAGCGCACGUAGGCGGACUAUUAAGUCAGGGGUGAAAUCCCGGGGCUCAACCCCGGAACUGCCUUUGAUACUGGUAGUCUUGAGUUCGAGAGAGGUGAGUGGAAUUCCGAGUGUAGAGGUGAAAUUCGUAGAUAUUCGGAGGAACACCAGUGGCGAAGGCGGCUCACUGGCUCGAUACUGACGCUGAGGUGCGAAAGCGUGGAG
RNAcentral lists this ribosomal RNA (713 nucleotides) under uncultured bacterium. Its description in RNAcentral is "bacterial SSU rRNA". It matches the Rfam family "Bacterial small subunit ribosomal RNA", at positions 1 to 766 of the family's 1533-position model. The record is from RNAcentral.